This 69-nucleotide transfer RNA is filed under the name Orientallactaga sibirica (Mongolian five-toed jerboa). RNAcentral's name for it is "Allactaga sibirica (Mongolian five-toed jerboa) tRNA-Val". It matches the Rfam family "tRNA". Rfam says of the family: Transfer RNA (tRNA) molecules are approximately 80 nucleotides in length. The record is from RNAcentral. Lineage: Eukaryota; Metazoa; Chordata; Mammalia; Rodentia; Dipodidae.
CAAAACGUAGCUUAACAUAAAGCAUCUGACUUACACUCAGAAGAUUCCCGCCAUUACAGGACGCUUUGA